Lepidothrix coronata (blue-crowned manakin) is the source of this 769-nucleotide long non-coding RNA. RefSeq lists it as uncharacterized. The transcript has 3 exons. Lineage: Eukaryota; Metazoa; Chordata; Aves; Passeriformes; Pipridae. The record is from RefSeq and is a predicted model, not a curated record.
GAAUACCGGGUAAAUCUGGACCCUGCCUUGGUUACAAACUGGUCACCAAGGAAGCCCUAGACCAAACUACCACACUGGGGAACAAUAGUGAGUGGUCACAAGAGAGGGAGAGGAGAGCCUGUAACGGAGCACACGUCUUUCACUGUUGUGGGCUGAGUGAUAACCAGGCAGGUAAAGGCUUGAAACAAUAAACUGUAAUUGAUCUGUUGGGAUUUUAAUAAAACCUUUGAGGCAAUAAAAAUGCUUUUAUGAAAAACAGGUCUGGGUAUCUUUUCUAAGAAGGUCUUUACUGUAACUGCUGGUUUAAAUGUUAAUUAUGGUUUUGUAAGGCAUCUCUUCUCAGCAAGUGAUAAGCAGCAGAGGGGAGAUUUGGUGUAGUCAGCCCUGUGCCUGUGAGAUCAUGUCCCUUUGGAAAACUCCAUGCCCAUGCCCAUGUUCUUCUUGAAACUUGGACAGCUCAGGGAUGAUUUGUGAAUCCUUGGGGUAUCUACAGCAUGUAGAGAAGCGAGGAAUCUGUGGGAAUGCUGUGUCAUGCGAGCGAGGACUAUUUAUAGCCAAGGAAGCUGAAAAGGUACCUUUGUCCUUGAUUCCCACUUUUCCAUGUUCCUUAGAACAGGAAUGCUGAAGACUCACGUCAGAGAUUUAACAAGAGGAGUGCGACAGGUGAUGGGAGCGAUGCACAAAGGGGAAGCAUCUGAUGCUGCCUCAUACAGCUUUUGUUUUUGAAGCUGUGCAGAAAAAUGAUGACAAAGAGAUCAGAUAAAAAUGG